This 514-nucleotide ribosomal RNA is filed under the name uncultured bacterium. RNAcentral describes it as "partial 16S ribosomal RNA". It matches the Rfam family "Bacterial small subunit ribosomal RNA", at positions 28 to 523 of the family's 1533-position model. The record is from RNAcentral.
GAUGAACGCUGGCGGCGUGCCUAAUACAUGCAAGUCGAGCGAACAGAUGAGAAGCUUGCUUCUCUGAUGUUAGCGGCGGACGGGUGAGUAACACGUGGGUAACCUACCUAUAAGACUGGGAUAACUCCGGGAAACCGGGGCUAAUACCGGAUAAUAUUUUGAACCGCAUGGUUCGAUAGUGAAAGACGGUUUCGGCUGUCACUUAUAGAUGGACCCGCGCCGUAUUAGCUAGUUGGUAAGGUAACGGCUUACCAAGGCGACGAUACGUAGCCGACCUGAGAGGGUGAUCGGCCACACUGGAACUGAGACACGGUCCAGACUCCUACGGGAGGCAGCAGUGGGGAAUCUUCCGCAAUGGGCGAAAGCCUGACGGAGCAACGCCGCGUGAGUGAUGAAGGUCUUCGGAUCGUAAAACUCUGUUGUUAGGGAAGAACAAACUUGUUAGUAACUGAACAAGUCUUGACGGUACCUAACCAGAAAGCCACGGCUAACUACGUGCCAGCAGCCGCCGUAA